Molecule: ribosomal RNA, 419 nt
Filed under: uncultured bacterium
Lineage: Bacteria
Description: bacterial SSU rRNA
Rfam family: Bacterial small subunit ribosomal RNA
Source: RNAcentral
GAAUAUUGGUCAAUGGACGAGAGUCUGAACCAGCCAUGCCGCGUGCAGGAUGACGGCCUUCUGGGUUGUAAACUGCUUUUCUACAGGAAGAAAAAAGUCAUGCGUGACAAAUUGCCGGUACUGUAGGAAUAAGCACCGGCUAACCCCGUGCCAGCAGCCGCGGUAAUACGGAGGGUGCAAGCGUUGUCCGGAUUUAUUGGGUUUAAAGGGUGCGUAGGCGGGUCUUUAAGUCAGUGGUGAAAGCCCAUAGCUCAACUAUGGAAUUGCCAUUGAUACUGGAGGUCUUGAAUUCAGUAGAGGUAGGCGGAAUUGAUGGUGUAGCGGUGAAAUGCAUAGAUACCAUCAGGAACACCGAUUGCGAAGGCAGCUUACUGGACUUGAAUUGACGCUGAGGCACGAAAGCGUGGGGAGCGAACAGG